Molecule: ribosomal RNA, 637 nt
Filed under: uncultured beta proteobacterium
Lineage: Bacteria; Pseudomonadati; Pseudomonadota; Betaproteobacteria
Description: bacterial SSU rRNA
Rfam family: Bacterial small subunit ribosomal RNA
Source: RNAcentral
ACCUGGUGGCGAGUGGCGAACGGGUGAGUAAUACAUCGGAACAUGUCCUGUAGUGGGGGAUAGCCCGGCGAAAGCCGGAUUAAUACCGCAUACGAUCUAUGGAUGAAAGCGGGGGACCUUCGGGCCUCGCGCUAUAGGGUUGGCCGAUGGCUGAUUAGCUAGUUGGUGGGGUAAAGGCCUACCAAGGCGACGAUCAGUAGCUGGUCUGAGAGGACGACCAGCCACACUGGGACUGAGACACGGCCCAGACUCCUACGGGAGGCAGCAGUGGGGAAUUUUGGACAAUGGGCGAAAGCCUGAUCCAGCAAUGCCGCGUGUGUGAAGAAGGCCUUCGGGUUGUAAAGCACUUUUGUCCGGAAAGAAAUCCUUGGUUCUAAUAUAGCCGGGGGAUGACGGUACCGGAAGAAUAAGCACCUGCUAACUACGUGCCAGCAGCCGCGGUAAUACGUAGGGUGCGAGCGUUAAUCGGAAUUACUGGGCGUAAAGCGUGCGCAGGCGGUUUGCUAAGACCGAUGUGAAAUCCCCGGGCUCAACCUGGGAACUGCAUUGGUGACUGGCAGGCUAGAGUAUGGCAGAGGGGGGUAGAAUUCCACGUGUAGCAGUGAAAUGCGUAGAGAUGUGGAGGAAUACCGAUGGC